RNAcentral lists this ribosomal RNA (253 nucleotides) under uncultured bacterium. Its description in RNAcentral is "partial 16S ribosomal RNA". It matches the Rfam family "Bacterial small subunit ribosomal RNA", at positions 524 to 776 of the family's 1533-position model. The record is from RNAcentral.
UACAGAGGUCUCAAGCGUUGUUCGGAUUCAUUGGGCGUAAAGGGUGCGUAGGCGGCAUGGUAAGUCGGAUGUGAAAUCCCGGGGCUCAACCCCGGAACUGCAUUCGAUACUGCUGCGCUAGAGUACUGGAGAGGAGAUUGGAAUUUACGGUGUAGCAGUGAAAUGCGUAGAGAUCAUGAGGAAGACCAGUGGCGAAGGCGGGUCUCUGGACAGUUCCUGACACUGAGACACGAAGGCGAGGGGAGCAAACGGG